GAUGAAGAACGUAGCGAAAUGCGAUACUUGGUGUGAAUUGCAGAAUCCCGUGUACCAUCGAGUCUUUGAACGCAAGUUGCGCCCGAAGCCAUUAGGCCGAGGGCACGCCUGCCUGGGCGUCACACGUCGUUGCCCCCCCAUCUACUCCUUCGGGAUUGCGGGGGGCGGAUGAUGGCCUCCCGUGCGCCUCGUCGCGCGGUUGGCAUAAAUGCCAAGUCCUCGGCGACGCACGCCACGACAAUCGGUGGUUGCGAAACCUCGGUUGCCCGUCGUGUGCGGUCGUCGCGCAUCGAGGGCUCGAAAAAAUUGCCGGGCUCCGGCUCGGCUUUCAACGCGACCCCAGGUCAGGCGGGGUUACCCGCUGAAUUUAAGCAUAUCAAUAAGCGGAGGA
This 391-nucleotide unclassified non-coding RNA is filed under the name soil metagenome. RNAcentral's name for it is "partial contains 5.8S ribosomal RNA, internal transcribed spacer 2, and large subunit ribosomal RNA". The stretch from base 1 to 122 matches the Rfam family "5.8S ribosomal RNA", at positions 35 to 154 of the family's 154-position model. The record is from RNAcentral.